AGUGGCGGACGGGUGAGUAACACGUAAGAAUUUGCCUUUAGGAGGGGGACAACAACUGGAAACGGUUGCUAAUACCCCAUAUGCUUUCGAGUGAAAUGGAUUUUUCCGCCUAAAGAGAAGCUUGCGGCUGAUUAGCUUGUUGGUGAGGUAAUGGCUCACCAAGGCGACGAUCAGUAUCUGGUUUGAGAGGAUGAUCAGACACACUGGAACUGAGACACGGUCCAGACUCCUACGGGAGGCAGCAGUGGGGAAUUUUCCGCAAUGGGCGAAAGCCUGACGGAGCAAUCUCGCGUGAGGGAUGACGGCCUAUGGGUUGUAAACCCCUUUUUUCAGGGAGGAACAAAAUGACGUGUACCUGAAGAAUAAGCAUCGGCUAACUCCGUGCCAGCAGCCGCGGUAAGACGGAGGAUGCAAGUGUUAUCCGGAAUCACUGGGCGUAAAGCGUCUGUAGGUGGUUUAAUAAGUCAACUGUUAAAUCUUGAAGCUCAACUUCAAAAUCGCAGUCGAAACUAUUAGACUAGAGUAUAGUAGGGGUAAAGGGAAUUUCCAGUGGAGCGGUGAAAUGCGUAGAUAUUGGAAAGAACACCGAUGGCGAAGGCACUUUACUGGGCUAUUACUGACACUCAGAGACGGAAGCUAGGGUAGCAAAUGGGAUUAGAUACCCCAGUAGUCCUAGCCGUAAACAAUGGAUACUAGAUGU
This 700-nucleotide ribosomal RNA is filed under the name uncultured bacterium. RNAcentral's name for it is "bacterial SSU rRNA". It matches the Rfam family "Bacterial small subunit ribosomal RNA", at positions 94 to 823 of the family's 1533-position model. The record is from RNAcentral.